This 265-nucleotide unclassified non-coding RNA is filed under the name Hevea brasiliensis (rubber tree). Lineage: Eukaryota; Viridiplantae; Streptophyta; Magnoliopsida; Malpighiales; Euphorbiaceae. The record is from RNAcentral.
CAGAAAACCUCAGUAUCUGAGCCAGCACGAAUCACAAACUGGUCUCGAGCUUUUUCAUCAGUAAGCCAACAUUGAAGAUUUUCCCCUGGAACAUAUGGCCUAAUUUCAGGAGGUGCCCACUCAUCUGGAACUCUCAUAAAUUUGGCAAAGUCAUCAAACAUGUUGACAGCAAAAAUAUGUGAUCUGUCCAACUUGUACCCAUUAGUUUUCUCCUUAGCUAGCUCAGCUUCCUGAGAAGUGUUAUACUCGAUGAAGCAGUAACCCA